Molecule: ribosomal RNA, 319 nt
Filed under: uncultured eukaryote
Lineage: Eukaryota
Description: partial 18S ribosomal RNA
Rfam family: Eukaryotic small subunit ribosomal RNA
Source: RNAcentral
CCCUUAGAUGAUUUGGGCUGCACGCGCGCUACACUGACCCUAACAAUGAGCAACUGUCUGGCCUGAGAUGGCUGGGUAGCCUUUUCAACCCAUGUCAUGAUUGGGCUAGAUUUUUGUAAGUCUUGAUCUCUAACGAGGAAUCCCAAGUAUGCGUGAAUCAUCAAUCCAUGCAGAUUAUGUCCCUGCCCUUUGUACACACCGCCCGUCGCUCCUACUGAUUGGGUGAUCCGGUGAGCUGUUCGGCCAUAGCAAUGUUUCUUGAGCAGGGCAAUGAAUGUUUCGCAAACCUUGCCACUUAGAGGAAGGAGAAGUCGUAACA